UAGGUUGUAGUUUAAUGAGAAUUGGAGCUUUGGGAGUUCCGGGUGCCUUCUUGGUCAGCCUAA
Molecule: transfer RNA, 63 nt
Filed under: Neoteredo reynei
Lineage: Eukaryota; Metazoa; Mollusca; Bivalvia; Myida; Teredinidae
Description: tRNA-Pro
Source: RNAcentral